UACGGAGGGUGCAACCGCUGCUCGGAAUUAUUGGGCGUAAAGCGCACGUAGGCGGACCGCUAAGUCGGAUGUGAAAUCCCUCAGCUUAACUGAGGAAGUGCAUUCGAAACUGACGGUCUUGAGUACGGAAGAGGGUCGCGGAAUUCCCGGUGUAGAGGUGAAAUUCGUAGAUAUCGGGAGGAACACCAGUGGCGAAGGCGGCGACCUGGGCCGAUACUGACGCUGAGGUGCGAAAGCGUGGGGAGCAAACAGG
Molecule: ribosomal RNA, 253 nt
Filed under: uncultured bacterium
Lineage: Bacteria
Description: partial 16S ribosomal RNA
Rfam family: Bacterial small subunit ribosomal RNA
Source: RNAcentral